GAAGCGGCAACAGCUCAAAUUUGAAAUCUGGCCUCUUCGGGGUCCGAGUUGUAAUUUGUAGAGGGUGUUUCGGGCGCGAUGCCGGUCUAAGUUCCUUGGAACAGGACGUCGCAGAGGGUGAGAAUCCCGUACGUGACCGGCAAUCAAGCCUGUGUGAAGCCCCUUCGACGAGUCGAGUUGUUUGGGAAUGCAGCUCAAAAUGGGUGGUAAAUUUCAUCUAAAGCUAAAUAUUGGCCAGAGACCGAUAGCGGACAAGUAGAGUGAUCGAAAGAUGAAAAGCACUUUGGAAAGAGAGUCAAACAGUACGUGAAAUUGUUGAAAGGGAAGCGCUUGCAAUCAGACCGGUCCGGAGGUGAUCAGCCGCUGCUCGCUCAGCGGUGCACUCGCCUGCGAUCCGGCCAGCAUCGGUUUGGGCGGCGGGAUAAAAGUCCCGGAAAUGUAGCUUCUCUUGGGGAGUCUUAUAGCCCGGGUCGCAAUGCCGCCCGCCCGGACCGAGGACCGCGCUUCGGCUAGGAUGCUGGCGUAAUGGUUGCAAGCGACCCGUCUUGAA
Molecule: ribosomal RNA, 550 nt
Filed under: Sticta aff. borinquensis 2 JAMD-2022
Lineage: Eukaryota; Fungi; Ascomycota; Lecanoromycetes; Peltigerales; Lobariaceae
Description: partial large subunit ribosomal RNA
Rfam family: Eukaryotic large subunit ribosomal RNA
Source: RNAcentral